GUGGGGAAUAUUGGACAAUGGGCGAAAGCCUGAUCCAGCCAUGCCGCGUGUGUGAAGAAGGUCUUCGGAUUGUAAAGCACUUUAAGUUGGGAGGAAGGGCAGUAAGUUAAUACCUUGCUGUUUUGACGUUACCGACAGAAUAAGCACCGGCUAACUUCGUGCCAGCAGCCGCGGUAAUACGAAGGGUGCAAGCGUUAAUCGGAAUUACUGGGCGUAAAGCGCGCGUAGGUGGUUUUGUAAGUUGGAGGUGAAAUCCCCGGGCUCAACCUGGGAACUGCCUCCAAAACUGCAUGACUAGAGUACGGUAGAGGGUAGUGGAAUUUCCUGUGUAGCGGUGAAAUGCGUAGAUAUAGGAAGGAACACCAGUGGCGAAGGCGACUACCUGGACUGAUACUGACACUGAGGUGCGAAAGCGUGGGGUGCAAACAGGAUUAGAAACCCUUGUAGUCC
Molecule: ribosomal RNA, 450 nt
Filed under: uncultured bacterium
Lineage: Bacteria
Description: bacterial SSU rRNA
Rfam family: Bacterial small subunit ribosomal RNA
Source: RNAcentral